GACCCUUCCCAAGGAGACCUGGGAGAGCCAAAGUCCUGGCGCCGCUGGCUGUGGGGAGUGGGAGAGGGGUCUUGGGACUCCUCCAAGACCCGCUCUAGUGGAGUCCAAGAAUGAGAUGCUUCAGGGAGCUGAGCACCUGAGCCUGCGUUACUGCUGCUGUCUCUCCCUGGAGUUUGAGCUGACCUAUGUCUCUCCAUCCUAGCUCCCUCAGCUGGCUGCCCCUGUCUUCCCCGGGGUCUUCUCUGUUCCCUAUUAUGGUCACUGCCCCCCACCCUCACCCCGGACUGGAAACUCCAGGCUCCUGCAGGACCGGGUCCCAGGAGAGAGGUUCAUGACGUAGGUCUAGGCAGCUUCCCUGACUCUUAAACCACUCCUGGCUGCUCCAGACACUCCCGGGGGCUGCCGGUCUGCAGGUAAGGGGGCAGCAGGAUCUCAAACGGAUUUCUGUCUCCUGGCAUUGCUUGCCCACCUGACCCCUUAAGGAGGGAUGGUGCUGGGUCCCCAACCUGGAUAGCUCGCUUCCCUGGCAUGACCUGAUGAGCAAAGGGAUUCAGUAUAGUGAGAGGAUCCUUGCUAUCUCAUCCUCUGCCCGAGUGGCCUUAGGUAAGUUACUCCAGUACUCUUUCUCAGUUCCCGCUUCUGUCAGAGUUACCUUGGCUACCACUCCAGAGGGUCUUUAAUUGCACAGCCACUUAGAGGGCUUGAAAAGCACAGGCCGUUGGACUCACCCGGAAAGUUUUAGAUUCUGUGAGACUGUGGGUGGGCUAGCCUCAGAUGCUGUGCUUAGGUGGAACGCACAGGAAGAUAAUCUUUUGGUUCUUGGUGUGGGCACCUAAACAAACAAACAAAAAAAAAAAAAACAAGAAACAAACAAAAAACACAAGACCCUGAUCUUUUACAGAGUGCUCAGCCUGCGUUCUAGUCGAUGCUGUGCAACAGGUGUGCACUUUAUUUAACAUUUAACAGCCCCUUUGAUGCUGCUGCAGGAGACAAGGCAGAUUUUAUUGUAGGAUGUCCCUGUUUGUGAUUUCACACCCAUGCCAUGCGGAAAGGCAGGCUAACUCCUUCUGUCUUGUUUUGUUUUGUUUGUUUUUGUUUUUGAGGUGGUGUUUUGUUUUUGUCUUUGUGUUGAGAGUUUUGCUCUGAAGCCCAAGCUGGCCUUAAACGUGCAAUCCCCCUGCCUCCGUUUCCCAGGCAGCUAGGAUUACAAGAGAGCAUCACAACGUGCAGCUUUCUUUUCCUAUCUGGAGGUCAGCUGCCCCAUCAGCCGGGUCCCUUUGAGGAUCCAGAUGUUCUAACAUCUGGGGGAAAUCCAAGGAUGAGUCUACCUUUUCCUAUGAAGAAAGCAAGGGCCAGAAGGACAUUGGGUCACUUAUUAAAAGGCACACAGCCAUCAGAAAUUUCUGGAACCCAGUUCUGGAUGAGUCUGAAGACUAGCCUCGAAUCCUUUCCUCUGGCCCUCCCUUCUUCCCACCACCCCUUUUUCCUCACCUGGGGCAGGCACCGAGGGAGGCAUAUGACAGGAAAGGUUAUUUUUAAACUUUCCUUGAAGCUGCUGUGGCCCCAGGGAUCCUGCCUAGCUCUCAGGAGCCUGUGAGAAGGCUCUGGUCUACUUCCUCUCCUGGCUCAAAAAAUGUGGGGAGCAGGCUAGAGGCUAAGACUCUUGGGUGUUCGAAAACUAGCUUGGAUGAGGGGUAUUCUGCCUUGCAGGAAUGAAUGGGGUGGUGGGGUAGAUUCCAAGAGGCCUGACCACAUAGGUCAUCUCCAUUACUGGGACACAGAAGUAUCACUUCUAUGGAAUUGGAUUGGGGGGGGAACAUUCUGGCUUUGGAAGAAACCUGAAGACCAACUCGUGAGACACCUUGGGAAGUCGUCAGGGGUUGGACCUCGGGUCCUAGGAUAAACCCUGGGGGUCUACUUACUGCAAAAUUAUGAUGCUUUGGGACUAUAUUGUCAAGAGGAAAUUUUUGUGGCAAUAACGGAGGAUAACAGGGGAGAGGCAAAAUAUGAUGUGUUUUCCUUUGUAUAUGAAACCUAGAUUUAAGUGUGUGCAUACACACAUAUGUACAUACAUACACACAUAUGUACAUACAUACACAUGUGACAGGAAGGCAGAAGGACAUUUGGGAGAGAGAAGAAACCAACGAGAUGAGAGAGGGGGUAGAUGGAUACUAGUACGAUGAUAUAUAUUGUGUGUGAAAAGUGUCCCAUCAUUUUGUACGCUAACUGUAAAAACAAUAAUUAAAAACAAAACGAGGAACGAGUCAGUCGCCCUUGGCCCUGGAUCUCUGAUCUAAAAUAUUUUGGGAUUUGUCAGCCAUGAGUCCUUCAUGGGUAUCUCUUGAGAUCUGAUGUGCAAGAACUUUGGUCCGUGGAGUGUACUUAGAGAAAGGGGCUCCCGUGAUGCUUCGCGGUGGGCUUUCUGUGUGUACCUGCAGGAAGUCUCAUCAGGAAUGCUCUGGGAAGGCAGGAGGGCGGGGUCGGUCACGUCAGGCCCGCCGCCACAAGACGUGCCCCACCCCCCGGGAAAUCAGCAAGGUCAUGGCGUCCAUGAAUCUGGGAGUGCUGAGUGAGAGCAGCUGCAGCGAAGAUGAGCUAUUGGAGGAAUGUAUCCGCUGCUUUGACUCGGCUGGCAGCCUGCGCCGAGGGGACCACAUUCUCAAGAUGGUGCUCACGAUGCACAGCUGGGUGCUGCCAUCCUCAGAGCUCGCUGCCCGUCUGCUGACUUCGUAUCAGAAGGCUGCCAAAGAUGCCCAAGAGCUAAGACAGCUACAGAUCUGUUACUUGGUCAGGUACUGGCUGACCCAUCACCAUGAGGCAGUGCACCAGGAACCCCAGCUGGAAGCAGUCAUAAGCCGGUUUUGGACCACUGUCGCUCAGGAGGGCAACAUGGCCCAAAGGAGCCUGGGAGAUGCCUCCAGCCUGCUAAGUCCUGGAGGGCCCGGUCCCCCACCUCCCAUGAGCAGCCCAGGCCUGGGCAAGAAGCGGAAAGUGUCAUUGCUAUUCGAUCACCUGGAGACAGAGGAGCUGGCACAACACCUCACUUACCUGGAGUUCCGGUCUUUCCAGGCUAUCACACCCCAAGACCUGCGGGGCUAUGUUUUGCAGGGUUCAGUGAGAGGUUGUCCAGCUCUGGAAGGUUCUGUGGGUCUGAGCAACAGUGUGUCCCGCUGGGUGCAGGUCAUGGUGCUGAGUCGUCCUGGGCCUGCACAACGUGCCCAGGUCCUGGACAAAUUCAUUCGUGUGGCACAGAGGCUUCACCAGCUGCAGAAUUUCAACACACUGAUGGCGGUCACGGGGGGUCUGUGUCAUAGCGCCAUCUCCAGACUCAAGGACUCCCACGUUCAUCUGAGCCCUGACAGCACAAAGGCCCUGCUGGAGCUGACAGAGCUCCUCUCAUCCCACAACAACUAUGCCCACUACCGCCGCACCUGGGCCGGCUGUACUGGCUUCCGGCUGCCAGUACUGGGUGUGCACCUCAAGGACCUGGUAUCUCUAUAUGAGGCUCAUCCAGACAGAUUGCCAGAUGGCCGCCUGCACCUACCCAAGCUGAAUAGCCUCUAUCUACGGCUGCAGGAGCUGAUGGCGCUCCAGGGACAGCAUCCUCCCUGCAGUGCCAAUGAGGACCUGCUGCACCUGCUGACGCUCUCCCUGGAUCUCUUCUACACGGAAGAUGAGAUCUACGAGCUUUCUUAUGCCCGGGAACCACGCUGUCCCAAGAGUCUGCCACCGUCCCCCUUCAAAGCACCAGUGGUGGUAGAGUGGGCCCAGGGUGUGACACCAAAGCCAGACAGCGUGACUCUGGGUCAGCAUGUGGAACAGCUGGUGGAGUCCGUGUUCAAGAACUACGACCCAGAAGGCCGUGGCUCCAUCUCUCUGGAGGACUUUGAGCGGCUGUCAGGCAACUUCCCGUUCGCCUGCCAUGGGCUUCACCCACCUCCCCGCCAUGGGAGUGGCUCCUUCAGCAGAGAGGAGCUGACCAAGUACCUGCUCCAUGCCAGUGCCAUCUGCUCCAAGCUGGGCCUGGCCUUCCUGCACGCCUUCCAGGAGGUCACCUUCCGAAAGCCCACGUUCUGUCACAGCUGCAGCGGCUUCGUGAGCACUGGCCCUGUUAGCACCCUUGGGUCCCAUCUCCCCUGGAUUGUCUCAGCUCCUCACACCCUAACUUGGGACAGUGUUGGGACAGGGUUUUGGUGGUGGUGGGGACUUCAGAAAUGUCCCCAUCUCAGAUAUUCCACCGAAUUCAUAUAAGCACCAAACACUGAAAUUCCUAUAUUCUCUACAUGCUAUCAGGUGAUCUUCACUGAGACAAUGGCCAAGCUGUAAAUACUCUCCAAACCCCCAAGCAAUACCAAAACAUGAUAAUCUGCAGAGCUGGGUAGAUUGUUUGGGCAUGGUGGUAUACUAGAAUCCAGGAGUACAAGGUCAUCCAUCCUCGGCUACAUAGGGAGUGAGCUUGAGGCCAGCCUGAGCUAUAGGAGACCCUGUCCUUUAAAAAACACUACCAUAUCUGGGUGUGGUGAUGACACAUGCCUUUAAUCCCAGCACUUGGGAGGCAGAGGCAGGAGGAUUUCUGAGUUCGAAGCCAGCCUGGUCUACAGAGUGAGUUCCAGGACAGCCAUAGCAACCCUGUUUUGAGAUAAUCCCACAUUCCUAACAUUUUGGUUAAUUGUCGGAUUCCUAAGAAAAUUCAAAACCCGUUGGCUUCCAUCCUUUGCUCCCUCCUUCAGUCCAGCUAACUGACUCCCCUUCCUUUCCCCAGCUCUGGGGGGUCACCAAGCAAGGCUAUCGCUGUCGGGCUCCUUCCCCCCAGACUGUGGGCUGUGUUGUCACAGACACUGCAGGGAUCAAGUGAGAGUGGAGU
RNA transcript from Mus musculus (house mouse), 4864 nucleotides. It is a transcript of the gene named RAS guanyl releasing protein 4, with no coding region annotated. NCBI's taxonomy places the organism in Eukaryota, Metazoa, Chordata, Mammalia, Rodentia, Muridae. The record is from RefSeq and is marked validated. The transcript is spliced from 13 exons.